Molecule: long non-coding RNA, 536 nt
Organism: Physeter macrocephalus (sperm whale)
Lineage: Eukaryota; Metazoa; Chordata; Mammalia; Artiodactyla; Physeteridae
Exons: 3
Source: RefSeq, a predicted model, not a curated record
UUGCCACUGGACGAGGAAGGUGGUCUAGCCCAGGAAAGGAAAAAAAGCCAUGUGGAGGAAUACCAAAGUGUCCCAAGCCAACAGCCAAUGCCAACUGCAAGCCAUAAGAAAACCUGAAUCUUACAACGAAGAGUAGCCCCUGCUCGUUGCAACUAGAGAAAGCCUGCGCUCAGCAACAAAGAUCCAACGCAGCCAAAGGAUGAACAUUUAAAAAUGUAUUUGAGGACUUCCCUGGUGGCAGAGUGGUUAAGAAUCUGCCUGCCAAUGCAGGGGACACAGGUUCGAGCCCUGGUCCGGGAAGAUCCCACAUGCUGCGGAGCAACCAGGCUCGUGUGCCACAACUGCUGAGUCUGCGCUCUAGAGCCCGCGAGCCACAACUACUGAGCCCACGUGCCACAACUACUGAAGCCCGCGGGCCUAGAGCCCGUGCUCCACAACAAGAGAAGCCACCGCAGUGAGAAGCCCGCGCACUGCAACGAGGAGUAGACCCCGCUUGCCACAACUAGAGAAAGCCCGUGCACAGCAACGAAGACCCA